RNAcentral lists this long non-coding RNA (556 nucleotides) under Homo sapiens (human). RNAcentral's name for it is "non-protein coding lnc-GAPT-7:1". Lineage: Eukaryota; Metazoa; Chordata; Mammalia; Primates; Hominidae. The record is from RNAcentral.
GGCCAUGUAUAAGCUGGUGUUGACCUGGCAGGAUGAGAGUGUCUGGAACCCACCUUCUGUGGCUGGUAGCAUGCCAACCUUGAGCCCGGCAAGCCAUGAGCAGGCAUAGCAUGGCGGGAAGCUGCUGUGAGAUGUUGGCUACGAGUUCGAUAUCUUCUUCACCUCAGUGCAAAAGAAAGUGACCUGGACCCUCUGGGCAGUGCUAGAUGCCAUUGGCCAGAGGUGGCUGCUUGUAGUGAGGACUUGGCACCUCAGUGAGCUGCACUAUGGUGGUCUGACCAACCCAAUAAACACAAACUACUGCCAAGCAUGCUGAGGCUCAGGUAAAGAUCUGGAGGUGCUCCUAUGCUGUCCUACCACCUCUGAAGGAGCCUGACCAUCCCUUCUACAGCAGUGUCAGUAAGGACUGCAGGUAUGCAGAUCCCACUGAAGAUCAGCUACCCACCUGUGAGUCUGAAGGACACUACUGCCAGAGCUCUGCCCUUUUGGAAUGAAGAAAUAGUUCCCCAGAUCAAGGAGGGGAAACAAGUACUGACUGCAGCCCAUGGCAGCAGCC